Gavialis gangeticus (Gharial) is the source of this 189-nucleotide long non-coding RNA. RefSeq lists it as uncharacterized. The record is from RefSeq and is a predicted model, not a curated record. NCBI's taxonomy places the organism in Eukaryota, Metazoa, Chordata, Crocodylia, Gavialidae. The transcript is spliced from 2 exons.
UCCUCACUGUGCUGGACACAGCUGCCUCCAGCUGGCUUAAGGUAGCCAGGGGAAGACUGAGUAACUCUGAAUAAUUCUGAACACCUGGCUAUUGUUCAUCAUGGAUGCUGGAGCUAUGACCAGCCAGAACAUCAAGAACUUUUCUCCCUCUUAAGAGCCAAUAAACUUCCAGUUUUUAGGUUUGGUGUA